This 752-nucleotide long non-coding RNA is filed under the name Homo sapiens (human). RNAcentral's name for it is "HSALNT0151230". The record is from RNAcentral. Lineage: Eukaryota; Metazoa; Chordata; Mammalia; Primates; Hominidae.
CAUGGAAGUUUGAGGGAGGUAUGUUCUAACACCGUUCCUAAUUGUGACGACUGUGUUGGCUCAACAAUGACUAAAUCAGAAACUCAAAGCUGGAAAUGGGCAUCACAGGCUUCUGGAAAGAUAAAAAGCCACAAGAUGUGUAGAAUCCACAUUGCUGCCUGUGUCAGCGACAGAUUGCCCUCAUAAAAGGUCUUGUCUGUUCCAGGGUACACUAUGGUGUUUCAACCGUGGAGAACGGAGAGCUGUGUACUGAACCCGAUUCUUAAAUUUUGUGGUUGUAAAAUGUCUGGGUCACUGAUGUAGAAGCUUUCAAGAGCACCAGGGAGGCAAUUCUAGGAGGAGAUCGCAUCAAUUAUACCUCAGAAGUUCCAGAUCAUUUCUCUGAGGACAGACUUUGAAAGAAGGAGAGACAGGAUCUCUGAGGAGGGAAACUGGCACAAAGAGAAAAACCCUGCACACAGGGAGAAGACGAUUUACGCGCCUCCAGUCAGCCCCAUGGACAGCAUGGCCCCAUGACAUUGCUCUGCUCCCCCACAUUUAUUUUCAAUAAAAUCAUCCAUCAGGAUGUGACUAGGUCGUGCUCCAAGCCUUAAGAAAGAAAAGCCAGACACGAAUUCCAGACUCUAGCAUGACUUCUAUAGUAGCAAGCAUGUAUGGUUCGAAUACUGACAGUUUACCUGUCCAAGAGCUUGGCUGGAAGCCUUGUAUUUUUAUGACAAAUAAUGCCUUUGGUUGGUGCAUGAAACGAAUAG